RNAcentral lists this transfer RNA (69 nucleotides) under Schizopygopsis anteroventris. Its description in RNAcentral is "tRNA-Ser". The record is from RNAcentral. Lineage: Eukaryota; Metazoa; Chordata; Actinopteri; Cypriniformes; Cyprinidae.
AAGGGAGAACAGAAAAUAGUAAGUACUGCUAAUCCUUAUCCUCCACGGUUAAAAUCCGAGGCUUCCUUG